CACUCAUGCUAUCUGUCUCUAAAUAAACCUAAAAAAUAAAAUUACAAUUUUAUUUUUACGUUUAAAUCUUUAAUUCUUCUACAACUUGUGUGUAUGUGAUGAUUUAUAUCCUAAUGGCUAAACAGUUCUACCACCAAAGCUGGAUAGUUGAAGGCAUAGACAUGGACAGUGCCUGGAAUGAUUGCAUACUUAACAAAGGUUAGCUCUGAGGUGGUGGUGGUUAUAUGCAUAGAGUAGUGGGUUUUUUUUUUUUUAAUGUUUUAUUUACUAUUUAUUUUUGAGAGAGAGAGGGAGGCACAGAAUGUGAAGAAGACUCCAGGCUCUGAGCUAUCAGCACAGACCUAAUGUGGGCCUCGAGCUCGUGGACCGAGAGAUCGUAGCCUGAGCUGAAGUCGGACGCUUAACUGACUGAGCCACUUAGAUGUCUGUACAGUGAUGGUUUUAAAAUGGUGGUCAGGAUACUAAAAUCAGCCAGGCUGCUCCUCAAAAUGCAGAUUCCUUGAAACGCCCCCAGACCUACUGGACCAGAAUCUCUGAGAGCACAGCUGGUUUCUCAGAAACCAGGAAAUACAUUUGUGGCACAUACGACGGACAGAGGUUAACCCUGUUAACGUACGAACUGCUGAAGUAGCGACAGGAAAACCGCGUAGACGUGGUGGAUGCACAGGGGAUGCAGUGCCGUGCCUCGCAGAAGAGCAGUAACAGUGUGCACGACACCAGCGCCCCCAUUUGUGAGGAACUGAGUAAUUGGGGCCCUUUACACGUGUGUUCCGUAAUCUCCCCCGCUCUGCCUUGCUGGAAGCUUUGGAACUACCGAGGUUGAAAGGACUGUCGGCACAGAGGCGAUGGUGCCCGGACGUGAGCGUCUGACUCGCGGGCGCUGAAGCUGUCUGGAGUGUGGGUGCGUCUGCACACGUGACGUGCGUCGUGUGCCUGUGCCCUGGUUUCCCGGGGCUCCAGAGCGGCCACUACGCACUCCUGUGUUAGACCCCAGAGGGUUGUGAUGUCCUCAAGGCCACCAGUCAGAGUCGACAGGGCCGCGCUCCUCUGACGCUCUAGGGAGAACCCCUCGUUGCCUCUUCCUGGUUUCCUGGCCCCCCUUGGCCGCCCUUGGCCGCCCUUGGCUUCUAGCUUGGCCACCUCGGUACCACCUGCAUCUUCCUAGAUUCUCUCUGUGCCUGAGUGUUUCUCCGUCACUGGAUACAGGGCCUGUCCUAAUCCACUGUGACCUCAUCCUAAUGUGAUUCCAUCUGCAGACUCCACCUGAGGUUCUGCGUGGCCAUGAAUUUUGGGAGAUGCUGUUCGACCCAGUACAGUCCAUCCUCCACCUUCCCCCAUAAAUGUAUCUCUUUCCCACGUACAAAAUAAACUCAUCCCGUCCCAG
This is a long non-coding RNA of Herpailurus yagouaroundi (jaguarundi), 1384 nucleotides long. RefSeq lists it as uncharacterized. The transcript has 2 exons. NCBI's taxonomy places the organism in Eukaryota, Metazoa, Chordata, Mammalia, Carnivora, Felidae. The record is from RefSeq and is a predicted model, not a curated record.